RNAcentral lists this ribosomal RNA (599 nucleotides) under uncultured cyanobacterium. Its description in RNAcentral is "bacterial SSU rRNA". It matches the Rfam family "Bacterial small subunit ribosomal RNA", at positions 120 to 752 of the family's 1533-position model. Lineage: Bacteria; Bacillati; Cyanobacteriota. The record is from RNAcentral.
AGAAUCUAGCUUCAGGUCGGGGACAACCACGGGAAACUGUGGCUAAUACCGGAUAUGCCGAGAGGUGAAAGGCUUGCUGCCUGAAGAUGAGCUCGCGUCUGAUUAGCUAGUUGGUGUGGUAAAAGCGCACCAAGGCGACGAUCAGUAGCUGGUCUGAGAGGAUGAUCAGCCACACUGGGACUGAGACACGGCCCAGACUCCUACGGGAGGCAGCAGUGGGGAAUUUUCCGCAAUGGGCGAAAGCCUGACGGAGCAAUACCGCGUGAGGGAGGAAGGCUCUUGGGUUGUAAACCUCUUUUCUCAGGGAAGAAAAAAAUGACGGUACUUGAGGAAUAAGCAUCGGCUAACUCCGUGCCAGCAGCCGCGGUAAUACGGAGGAUGCAAGCGUUAUCCGGAAUGAUUGGGCGUAAAGGGUCCGCAGGUGGCUAUGUAAGUCUGCUGUUAAAGAAUCUAGCUCAACUAGAUAAAAGCAGUGGAAACUACAUAGCUAGAGUGCGUUCGGGGUAGAGGGAAUUCCUGGUGUAGCGGUGAAAUGCGUAGAUAUCAGGAAGAACACCAGUGGCGAAGGCGCUCUACUAGGCCGCAACUGACACUGAGGG